AGUCACUGACAUUAGAUACCCCUGUAGUCCUAGCCGUAAACGAUACUCGCUAGGUGUCGGCCACGGUGCGACCGUUGUCGGUGCCGUAGGGAAGCCGUGAAGCGAGCCACCUGGGAAGUACGGCCGCAAGGCUGAAACUUAAAGGAAUUGGCGGGGGAGCACAACAACGGGUGGAGCUUGCGGUUUAAUUGGAUUCAACGCCGGAAAUCUUACCGGGACCGACAGCAACAUGAAGGCCAAGCUGAAGACUUUGCCGGAUUAGCUG
RNAcentral lists this ribosomal RNA (265 nucleotides) under uncultured archaeon. RNAcentral describes it as "partial 16S ribosomal RNA". It matches the Rfam family "Archaeal small subunit ribosomal RNA", at positions 718 to 982 of the family's 1478-position model. The record is from RNAcentral.